AUGGAAUGGUGGGGGGCAGCGCGCGCCGCGAUCCACUUAGCCGUGACCGCAGCGUGGAAUCCGGCCUGGUUGAGCCAGAAAAGCUCGAACCGAAACCGUGGCGGGACGGCCGGGGGGGGGGGAGGGGGGGCAUUCGGCGGCGGUGGAAAGGAGGAGAGGGACGUGAGAGGAAGUAAAGUGAUAAUCUUGGGUAAAAGCGCAGGCUUGGAGAAGUUUGGAACUGUCAAGCAUGUUUCUCUGAACUCCCUGGCAUUCGAUGAGUACAUGUACCUGUUCAAGACACUCGCAUUCGGAAAGGCACUGCGGAAAAACAUGAGUGCCCAUUUCUGGCUGUACAAGUUGAAGGGUGCCAGAGAUUCUGUCAAGAAGAACAUUUCUUGCUUUGGAGCCCAUCCACAGGUGCUUUUCAACCGAGGUCACGCAGUGCACCUAAUCGGCCGCUACAUUUUAACUCCUGCUGCUCCAUCAGGCAUUGUAAACUCUGCUAUUGGUAUGGCUAAUGUUCCAGAGGAGCAGGGUAUUGGUCUACGCUUCAGUCAGGGAAGAAGCGUCCAUGACAAGCCUGAAACAUCCUUGUCAGGGAAGAAGCGUCCAGGUUUAUUUGCCUAA
RNAcentral lists this ribosomal RNA (609 nucleotides) under Triticum aestivum (bread wheat). Its description in RNAcentral is "partial small subunit ribosomal RNA". The record is from RNAcentral. Lineage: Eukaryota; Viridiplantae; Streptophyta; Magnoliopsida; Poales; Poaceae.